UUUAGCAGACAAAAGAAAAUCGAAGAAUUUGUUCUGAGAGUUAGUCCUCGGAGCACGUCGUACGCGUACACGAGUCGGAAACGAAGUGGCGCGGAAUCAACUCGCCUCGCGACAGCCGAGAACCUCUCCUCUCUGCUUCGGCCAAUCACAUCCCUCCUUUGUACAUAUCCCCUCCCCGCCUCCCGAUCCUCUCCUAGGGACGGUCCGCGGUCCAGCCACGUUCCUUCGUUCCGUUGUUUCUACGAGGACUCUGGUUGCUACCUCGACUUUUUUCGUCCUAAUUAUUAUCCUCCGCCACAUUCUUGCGGAAACAAACGAAGAAGUCAUUACAUACAAUCGAAUAUACGGCGAGUUUCAAGGUCUUAAUUAUCGAGCCCUAAUAUAAUAAAGUUCUUAUAGUACAUGGACUUAUACGAUAUUCAAAGUUUACAAAAAUUGUGGACCAGUAAAUAUGAGGCUACAGAAUAUAUGAUAAUUUUAUGAGAAUAUUUAUAGUGGUUACAAAAAGUAUUUGUACACCGUUGUAUUUAUUAUAGUAUUUAUUUACUAAUCAAUUAAGUCCAAAUAUAUUAAGUUUCUUAUCAUUUGGUAGUACUUUCAUGUAACGACUAAAACUUGAUACUAUGAAAAUGAAAUGUGGGAUUUAGUAAAAAAUGCUUCAUUGGAAAAUUCAGAUUCAAGGAUUUCCGAAGCAAGUAAAAAAGCAGCUAUAAAGCUGACUUGGCUUUAUAAUAAAAGAUAAUCAAAAUAGAAUUGAAAACAAAUUAAAAAGAAAGAUCAAGAUAUGGAAAAAACUGGAAAAAUUAUCAAAAGGGAAAAACUGGAAGAGUGGUAUAAAUAGAACAACUUUAAGAUAAUUACUAUUGACCUUAAAUCGCAAACAGUGACCUUGAAAAAGAGACCUCCUUGAACCAAAUACUAUUUCUGUAUUCUAGCACAAUCGUCUUAUUGCAUUACACGAGUUAUAACUGAAUUUGAUACUCUGGUUUCGUUCGUCAUAUAUUCAAGGAUAUAAAUAUAACACGUAUACAUGUAUUUGAAAGAACGAAGAAUAUAAGAAGACGUGUAAUUCAUUUCUAAGGGAAAUCAGGUAUAUCGUAGGCCAGGCAAUGAGAAAAUUGUCAUUUGAUUCGCAUACGUAAGAACGUCGCGCUACUUUAAAUACAAUACCAUUAUAACGACAUUAAUUCGCCGAUUUAACCGUCUCAAGAGGCAAGCGACUUUAUCGCGUGACUGGCACCGACUACAGCAAAUAUUUGUCGUCCAGUUUCUUCAGUCAGCGUCACACCUAUCAGAAAGACGGCCGUUUUUGCGAAGAGCAGUAAACGAAAAACAAAAUUGUAAAUCCUCCGUGAUCCAUAAAUACGUAGUACGAGAAUGGUGUGCGAUAUUCGACCGUUGACUAAGGGCAGUUCUCAAUGUCAAUGUCUCAGCAACGAUCGAGCACCACUGACUGCUUCGUAAUUUCGACACGUUCGCCGGGAGCAAAUCACCGGUGACCACCGUUGAUGGCCACCUUGCUUGUUUGUUGCAUAAUAUUGGCCGACGAUUCUGCUACGCCAGAUAUACAUACAUACUUGCUUUCUGUGGAAAUGUUCGCUCGUGCCAAGAUUAUCUGCUGGCAUCUCAAGCAUGGAAAACAUCCCUGCCAGACCGCUUCCUUAUCGAUCUUUUGCCGCGCUUUUAUCGUUUUCGCUGAAUCAAUGCCAUUCGAUGGUUUACGUAGUUCCUCAUUUCGAAAAUAGUAAAACUGUCGUAUUUAAUGUAUGACGAGGACUUUAUUGCUGAUUUGAUCUAUCUCUUUGGUUUUAAUUUUCAUCUGUAGGUGGAGGGGGUUUUAGUAAAGUAACGCUGAUGUGCUAAUGAUGAGAAAACAAGUAAUUUUAGACUCUACUUACUUCUUUACACGUAGAUCUUUUGUAUAUUUUGCAUGUUUCGAAAACUUCGUGUAUUUUCUUUUUUUAUCUGAAUAUCUGAUAUUUACACAACUUAUCGAUGAAGCAAUUGAAUUUGAAACCGAAAAUUUUAACGAAGCAAAGUCUUACAAGUGAACGUGACGAUCGGCACGUAAAACUUUUUACGCUACUAAAACAAUAAAGUAGUUGUGUAUGAUAAAUAUGAGUAAUAAAUUCUGUUAAUGCAGUUUUAUCAGUUAUGUAAUUUAACGGACGUAAUUCCAAUGGAAAAUUUUUUCGUAUUUCUUUCAUGGAAAUCAUUAAUUUUACUUACAUUGAAAAAAUUAUAAAGAUUAUGUAAAGAACUUUUAGAAUAUAAGAACUAUCGAGAUCGACAAGCUAUUCCCAAAAUUUUUAAAAAUUUUAAUGCGUAUAUAUAUUUCUUUAUUCUUCUUUUUUUUUUUAAAUAGCUUUCCUUGAUUGUUAGGAAAGUGUGAUAAGAUUCUUUACUGUGAAAUCUGUCCGCGGCAACCCGGUGAACUCAUUCAGAUCAAUUGAUGAGGCCGAGUUGAUAUGCUGCCAAUGAAAUUAGCCAGGAGGACAAUUAAGCGCAUCGUUGAACAAAUCCUAGACAAACUUGUCGCCGUUGAUGGACACAAACUGUUGCCUAUAACUAAAGUAAAUUCUACUUGGCUCCAUAUCUUUCAUCGGCUUUCUUCUACAUUAAACAACGUAUCAAUAACAUGAUGAUUUUAAUUCUACUGUUACAAUACAAUUAUUGGAAAAUUAUCGAACAUAUAUUGAUUGAAAAUUUUAUGAGAAUAGAAAUCCAUAUUAAAGAAGAAAUAUGAAUCAUUAAAGUCAAAAUUAUUGAAGAAAAAUUCAUUAAAAAAGUAUCCAUGUUUCAGCUCAAGUCCACCACAGCAUGAAUAGAAGACCGAUGUUGAGGAGGAAGAUACAAUCUUAUUCUCCAAUUAACUACAGAUUGUCAUCUACACCCCGUUGUUCAACACUGCAAUGAUAUUGUCAUCAAAGACUCAAUUGAAUCGUUUAAAGGAACACCUUACCAAUAAUACCCUGAUGAAAAAUUGCGAGUAAUCAGCUGCAUAUGAUUCAUUAUUUUAAGAAACUGCUAUCUCUUAUGCAAACUGCAAUUAUCUAGCGGUUCAGCAAGGCUUAAAUUUAGAGAGGAAUUUCGCUAAGUCGGCGAGACGUAAAGGCUGGAGGGCCCUGCCGGUGCUGGGACCGAAAUACACGACGAUUAUACCGGCGACUCCUCGAAUUGUUUCUCUGCAUGUGGCUUUUUUCCCCUCACCGUUACAGAUACGCCUCUGCAAAUGUAAAUCUUCGUGGCUGUGGUACAGUCAGGCAUACAAUUCCAUCGUAAAGAUUCUCUGUAGUCUUAACGACAUCAUCUUUCGAGAGCUGCUUUCUGGUUGUGGUUUCCUCUGUGUAUUAUGUUAAAUUAACAGGAUAAUCACGUGUAACACGGAUACAUAUAUCAUAGAUAAAUAAUUAUAAAUAAUAUAGGUAAUUUCGAUUAAUUUUAAUUAAUACGAAGAUUCUAUUCAUAGCAUAAAUAAUAUGAAAAGUAGAAUAGUUACUGUUAAAGUGACUUUAGUUGAAUUAUUUUAAUUUUUGUAAUAGAGAAAUUCUUUCUUAGAUUAUAUACAUAUAAUAAAUGGAAUUAAUCAGUGAAAAUAUAAGUACAUUAAGUCCAUUGUUACUCAACAAUAAUUUUGACAUUAUGGAUAUUAUAAGUAAUUCACAGAUAUUUCUGUUUUGGACUUUAGAAACACAGGCAUUUGUCUAAUUCUGAUUGAUUUAUUAUAUGUUUUCUGAGAAUCUGUGAAAUUUCAAGCAUGGUAAGCAAACAAUAGAGUGAAAUCCAGUGGAUCAAUAAUUAUUUCAAAAUCAAUAUAUUAUUACAAUAAAUAAUAUGUAAAUUCUUCAUCUAAGAGUUGUAGGUAAGAAUUAUAAGUAAAUGAUGGAUAACACUAACUAAGCUAUUUACGUAGGAAUGGAACCAUCCCCAUAUAUAAUCUUUAACAUUUUAUACAUUUUUCAAUUACGUUAUCAAGAUGUAUAAUGAGUGUUCAACUUCUCAAAAAAUAAGUUGCUUAUCACAAAUCCAUUUAUGGCAAGAUGAUAUAAAUGAUUAUAAAUUUCAAGAGUUGAUUAGUAUGAAUUUUGAAUUUCCAUAUUGAAGAAUCGAGAUUAUCAAAAAGCCCCAUAAACGAUGUAAGAGAAGCGAAGGAUGGAACGGAUGGUCGCUGUAUUUUAGUAGUAAGCUGGCUGCAAUAGUUUAAGGCUUAAGGCAAGUCAUUUAUGUCGCAAGGGAUCUCGCGUCUUAAGACAUCGCUCCCUCGCUGUAUAGUGACACGAGUGGCCGUGAAAUCGGCUACGUCGGCCAUUCUAAAAUCGUGCCAGAAUUUCUUGCCAAAUUUAAUUGGAGCUCCGUCCUGUUUACCUGUGCGAACCUACGAUCUUGAGCGUUUAUCCAUCUUUUCAUCUCUCUCUCUCUCUCUUUUUUCUUUUCAUACCUUUGCUGGCAAAUUUUCGAUACGAGACAAUCAGACGAAACAAUGACUCCUUGACGACAUGCCAAGGAACCUGAUACUGCAAGGCUUAGCUCAGUUAUUUAGUUAUUUCUGCGAUUAACAUUUUGUUACACAAUUGCAACGUUCUCGAGAAUCGUAAAAUUAAUCGUUUUAUUGUUUUGUUUGAAGAUCGACAAGCCAUGACGAAUCGCUGGAGAAGAGCAACGGAAUAUUUUCAUUUAUCUGACAAGAUGUGACAGACAUGAUUUGGAGCCAUUUUAUAUCUACCUUUUCAGAUCGUUAACGCUAUAGAUUGUAAGGGACCUGCGUAUCUUUACCGGUGCCGGAUCGAUGCUUGUUAAUUUUCACAGAUGUGGCCCACACCUGUGAAUUUUGGUCGCUUAUCGCUCCAUUUUUUAUCGCUUGAUAAGCUUCAAAUUUGGGCAAACGUUUCCUGUCUCGUGAUAAAUGUUCGAGUAUUUUUUUUUUUUUUUUUUAUCGCGUUAUUUUGGAACUGUUGAAAAAAUUUGUGAAAGUAUAGAACAAGGUGUUUAUAGAUGAAGAUAUAAUGAUAGAAACAUAAUUUCUGAGAAUGAAAAUAAUUUUAUAUGAAUAAAUAUCCGCUUGUUAAGUUAUUUCUUGGGAAGUAUUGGCAAUAUCAUCUUUCUCAUUUUAUUAUAAAACUCCAUAACUACUUUUAACCGUUUUAUGGAAAGACGUAGGCACUUCCAGCUUUAUUUUCAAUUUUGUCUUAUCAGAGAUCAAACAGAGAGAAAUAAGAAAACUAACGCUCAUUGAUAUUUUUAUUAAAACACAGCUAAUUCUAAAUUCUUUUGUAAUAAAGUGAGUCU
Bombus terrestris (buff-tailed bumblebee) is the source of this 5286-nucleotide long non-coding RNA. RefSeq lists it as uncharacterized. The record is from RefSeq and is a predicted model, not a curated record. The transcript has 4 exons. NCBI's taxonomy places the organism in Eukaryota, Metazoa, Arthropoda, Insecta, Hymenoptera, Apidae.